This is a long non-coding RNA of Sphaeramia orbicularis (orbiculate cardinalfish), 514 nucleotides long. RefSeq lists it as uncharacterized. The record is from RefSeq and is a predicted model, not a curated record. Lineage: Eukaryota; Metazoa; Chordata; Actinopteri; Kurtiformes; Apogonidae. The transcript has 3 exons.
UAGCAAACAUUUAUUCCAAUCAUUUAGACAAUUUGCACAAUUUGUCGUCUCCCCUGAUCGAUGUGCUCUCAGAACUGUGUGUUCGCUGGGAUCAGCUGUCUUUAGUCUUAUCGGUUCUUCACUAUAUUUAACAUUACACAAAAACAGAACUUUGGAGCCUUUCCUCUGUUUGAACUCAACUGAUUGACUUGAUGGUAAAUCCAUUUCAACAGGUUUAUUUAUUUAUUUAUUUUUCUUGCUGCAUAGGAUUCAUACAGCUGAUCACAGUAUCAGAAAACAUGUAUUAUUCAUCCAGGGACAAACACAGGAGGCUACACAUGCAGAGAGCAUCCAUUCACAGUUCUACCCAUUUGAUCUACAUUUUCUACCCAAGUGUCACAUGAUCACACUCUUUGAUUCCACAGGCCGUUGGGACGGACGAUAAAUCAGACAAAUCAUUUUAAACAAUGUCACAGAAAUAUUCGUGUUACAGCUUUGUUUUACUUUAGAGCCAAUCUGUACAUGAUUGGAGAUG